AACGUAGGUGGCGAGCGUUAUCCGGAUUUACUGGGCGUAAAGCGUGUGCAGGCGGCUCACCAAGUGGUGUAUGAAAUAUCCAGGCUCAACCUGGAGGGGUUAUGCCAGACUGGUGGGCUCGAGUGCGAGAGAGGGGCGUGGAAUUCCCGGUGUAGCGGUGAAAUGCGUAGAGAUCGGGAGGAAGGCCGGUGGCGAAGGCGGCGCUCUGGAACAUUUCUGACGCUGAGGCUCGAAAGCGUGGGGAGCAAACAGG
RNAcentral lists this ribosomal RNA (253 nucleotides) under uncultured prokaryote. Its description in RNAcentral is "partial 16S ribosomal RNA". It matches the Rfam family "Bacterial small subunit ribosomal RNA", at positions 524 to 776 of the family's 1533-position model. The record is from RNAcentral.